GAACGNUAGAGUAGCAAUACUCGAGAGUGGCGAACGGGUGAGUAAUGUAUCGGAACGUGCCCAAUUGUGGGGGAUAACGUAGAGAAAUUUACGCUAAUACCGCAUACGAUCUAAGGAUGAAAGCGGGGGAUCGCAAGACCUCGCGCAAUUGGAGCGGUUGAUAUCAGAUUAGCUUGUUGGUGAGGUAAAAGCUCACCAAGGCGACGAUCUGUAGCUGGUUUGAGAGAACGACCAGCCACACUGGGACUGAGACACGGCCCAGACUCCUACGGGAGGCAGCAGUGGGGAAUUUUGGACAAUGGGCGAAAGCCUGAUCCAGCAAUGCCGCGUGCAGGAAGAAGGCCUUCGGGUUGUAAACUGCUUUUGUACGGAACGAAACGGUCUGCUUUAAUACAGUGGGCUAAUGACGGUACCGUAAGAAUAAGCACCGGCUAACUACGUGCCAGCAGCCGCGGUAAUACGUAGGGUGCGAGCGUUAAUCGGAAUUACUGGGCGUAAAGCGUGCGCAGGCGGUUAUAUAAGACAGUUGUGAAAUCCCCGGGCUCAACCUGGGAAUUGCAUCUGUGACUGUAUAGCUAGAGUACGGUAGAGGGGGAUGGAAUUCCGCGUGUAGCAGUGAAAUGCGUAGAUAUGCGGAGGAACACCGAUGGCGAAGGCAAUCNCCUGGACCUGUACUGACGCUCAUGCACGAAAGCGUGGGGAGCAAACAGGAUUAGAUACCNCUGGUAGUCCACGCCCUAAACGAUGUCAACUGGUUGUUGGGUGCAUUAGUACUCAG
RNAcentral lists this ribosomal RNA (778 nucleotides) under bacterium EJ10-45. RNAcentral's name for it is "bacterial SSU rRNA". It matches the Rfam family "Bacterial small subunit ribosomal RNA", at positions 64 to 843 of the family's 1533-position model. The record is from RNAcentral.